CCUACGGGUGGCAGCAGUGGGGAAUAUUGGGCAAUGGACGCAAGUCUGACCCAGCAACGCCGCGUGAAGGAAGAAGGCUUUCGGGUUGUAAACUUUUUUUAAGGGGGAAGAGCAGAAGACGGUGCCCCUUGAAUAAGCCACGGCUAACUACGUGCCAGCAGCCGCGGUAAUGCGGGGGGGGCCAGCGUUGUGCGGAUUUACUGGGUGUAAAGGGCGUGCAGGCGGAGAGAAAAGUGAGGUGUGAAAUCCACGGGCUCAACCCGUGAAUGGCGUUUGAAACUGUUUCCCUUGAGUGUCGGAGAGGUAAUCGGAAUUCCUGGUGUAGCGGUGAAAUGCAUAGAUAUCACACAGAACACCGAUUGCGAAGGCAGCUCACGAAGCCGCGAUUGACGCUGAUGCACGAAAGCGUGGGUAUCAAACAGGAUUAGAUACCCUAGUAGUC
Molecule: ribosomal RNA, 442 nt
Filed under: uncultured bacterium
Lineage: Bacteria
Description: partial 16S ribosomal RNA
Rfam family: Bacterial small subunit ribosomal RNA
Source: RNAcentral